This 6309-nucleotide long non-coding RNA is filed under the name Vigna radiata. RNAcentral's name for it is "long non-coding RNA (VRAD_LNC012034)". The record is from RNAcentral. Lineage: Eukaryota; Viridiplantae; Streptophyta; Magnoliopsida; Fabales; Fabaceae.
UUAUUCAAGUGGUGUUCUGUGCAUUCGGUGUCAAUCAACGUUGAAAUCGUACCAGCACUUCAUUCACAUGAAUUGAAGCAGAAUUGCGGUGUAAGCAUCGGAAACCAUUCAAUCGAUCAAAAUUUGAUGACGCAAUCUUGUUCUAUUCAGUACUAAUUCAAUUAUUUUUUCAUUGUAUUGAUUCAACAGGAUUCGUUUAUUUGAUUCGUUGCAGCUUAUUGGCAGGUGAAGAAAAUGGAGAUUAGAAGUGCAUGAAUUUGAUUCGUUGAUUUAUUCAUACUGACUCGAACCGUUGAUGUUCGACUACGGUGUAGUUAAAUCAAUUCCAAUUGCUAACUCCAUUUCAAUUUACUGAACAAUUAUCGGUGGUCGGUUUAAUUCGUUGAAGCGCCAUACAUAUGCAGAAGCUUUUUUUCAGUCGUUUAGCUUUAUUCAAAUCAACCUCCUUUGAUUUUUGGAGACUGAGCGGACGCGUUUGGUGCCUUUUGAUUGACAUUCACGUGAAGCGGUGGAAGCAAAUUUCAAGGCAGCAGGUGAGAUAGCAAUUUUGAUAAAAAAAGCAGGUGAGACUUUGAUUGAAUCAAUAAAUCAACAUUCUCAUCAUAAGUCUCAGAUUUUAUAACAGCAAAUUAAAUUUGUGAUAAGCUUCAUUUUAUAAAUUUUAGUGUCGAUUGCAUAUUAUUUAUCAACUUUACGUCAAAAAUGUUAUUAAAAAUUAUAUUAAUAACAAAAUUAUGUAAUAUCAAAAUGUUUAUUUAUAAAAUUAAACCUUAUAAACGUAGUAACCUAGAUCAUACUGGAAGCCUCCGGACUUCCUGCUAUUCUUUACCACAUCGUUCAAUCCUCUCUACAUGAGAAGAAAGUCCAUUGGAGCAUCAGGAAGACCCCCAAGACUGAGCUCCUACUUUCAUUCUAAAACACUAGGAAUCUCACCGAGAAAUCUUACAUUUGAACCACCACCAAAUACCUUAAAAUCAUGUUUCUUCCUUUCCCAAGUUACAUACCUUUAAACCAAAAUUCACCAUUAUAUUCCUUCCAACCAUACACGUUAUACAUAUACAACUUAUACAUACUCAGACAUUACAUAUUUUCACAGAAAUAUCACUUAUUAACACAAAUUUCUUUAUAGCAUAUUAUUACCAACACUUACGUAAUUUAAAAAGCUUAGAAACCCUUACCAAUGGCUCCGGGAGGGUCAAAAACCCCCAAAACGAACUAAAGAACGUCCAAAACGGACAUACGAAACUCCAAAAAAAUAAAAACAUAAAAAAUACUCAAUCUCCCACACUUAAUUCGCUCAGCACACCUCCCUAUGCGCUCAACGAAUUUUGUCUGUAGGGAAAGCUAAAUUCUGUAGAUUUUUACAACCCAACACCCCAAAAUUCGUCCUAGACCUCUUCCCUAACUUCUAAGACCCCUAAUUUGUGAUAUGGACUCAUUUAAUCGUGUCUAAAUGGAUUUUACACAUUCCUAUAGUGAUUUUUGAAGGGAUUUAGGCUUGUAUCUAUCUCUAAUUUACCAAUUUCUAGGACUUCGGGACUUUGUUUCUCACUUACCAAUUCUAGCAAGUUUUGGCUCAGUUAUGUGCUUAACAAGUUUAAUAGACUCACCCAUACUGCCUGAACAGACCAACUAUACCCAGAACCCCAAAGACUCAAAAUCGCUCCCUCACUCCCUUUAACUCGACCCAUAAUGGUUCCUGUUUGCCAAAUUAUCUAGUUGGACUACAUCACAAUGAGACACUUCCCCCCCCCCCCAAACACUCCCUUAUUACCCAAUUGGUCACUGUUGAGUGUUUAGAUGUCUGACGCAUCAGACUCACCUUCGACGCCAACAAAUAUGACUAGUCACAACGUAUUGGACCAGGCCAAGGCCGCUCUAUGUUAGGGAUGUGCCAGAUCAGGUUUUUAAGUCCCCUCUAGCCUCCAAAUGUACAGUUCAAUGCCUCAAUUCCUUUCAACCUAGUUAAAACAAUAUUCCAAAGAGUCAUAGUACCAUCAAAACCACAACACAGGAGGAUUUUCAGCCAAGACAUUUUCAACAUACCAAAUCCCAACACUUAGAGUCAUUCAAAACAUAAUACAAACAACAUAUUACCAAUUCAUAUAUUAAUACUUUUCAUCAGUUUCACAGUUCAGAACAAACUCAACAGAUACGUAAAACUUUUAUCAAUGCACCAGUUCAGUGACAAAGUACAAACUAUUUAAGUACAGUAACAUAGUAUACAAGCCCAAUAACAUGCACAUUUCAUAAUUUAACAUACCAUCAUAUUACACAAAUAAAUUAGGUUAUAUAAUCAGCUCCCUUUACCUAGAUUCCAAGCAUAGCUAAUUUAGGAAUCCCUAACAGUACCUCUACACAGAGGCAAACCCACAGUACUUAUAAUACACCAAGAUGGCGUAGAGUAAAGCUCUUUAGAACUUGAUUGGGCAGAAAACAUGAAGAGGAACAAUUACUAGACACAUACAACCCACAAAGUUGCAUUCCCCAGUUACAGGAACAGUGAAAGAAAAAGGGGAUAUCCACUUACCAGGCAAAUUGAAGAAAUGUUCGGUUCAAAUCAAAGCUUUCUGCACCAAGAGCGAUUUGGCAGCAUCAAAUCAAGAUUUGAACAGUCCAAAGUUCUACUAGAAUUUUAGAGAGAAGUCAGAGAAAAUGUUAGGGAAGGGUUCUAGAGAGAGAGUGGAAAAUCUGAAAAAUGAGAAAUCUAAUUCACUGAGAGACCCCUUUCCAAGAUUCAGACACUCUUAAUCUGAUGGACCUGACUGCCCCUAACUAUAAGGCCCAAUGGUUUAAAAAAAAGGCUUAAUACUGCUUUUGGUCCCUAGUUUGGGAGGGUUUGUUCAAUAUGGUCCUACCUUUUUUUUUUUCAUAACAAUUAAUCCUACCUUUUGAAAAAACUGUUCAAUUGAGUCCUUUUUGUUCAUAGUGGUCUCAUAUUCAAGUUUAAAUUGUUUAUUAUAGUCCUUAUUGUAUACGAUGAUGACAUGAUUUUUAACAUAACCUUAUGUCAAGACUGUUAAAAUAACAUUUGCAUAGGUGAAUGCAUGAAAGAACUUAUUGACGUCAUAACCAGCACCGUUAAAAAAUUGACGUCAUAACCAAAAAGGAGUCAAUUGAACAGUUUUUUAAAAAAGUGGAAUCAAUUGUUACUAAAAAAAGGUAGGACCAUAUUGAACAAAACCUCCCAAACUAGGGACCAAAAGCGGUAUUAAGCCAAAAAAAAAUUUGGGCCCUUAUAAUUAUAAAAGUAAUAUUCAGCUAAUGUAAAAUAAUUGUCGUCGAUUGUUACUUGCCCAAAAUUGGUUUAGUUAUCAUUUUUAUUACGUUGAGAAAUAGUGUGAAUAAUUUAGAUGGAUUUGAUAAUAAAGUUUUUUUUCUGAAAUAAAUUUUAUAUCUUCUAAUCCUGAAUAAUCUCUCACGGGUAGUAGUUACCUAUCCUUUUGAAAUCGAUUUCAAUCUCUUCUCUUCUUUUUCUUUAUUUUCUUUGUCACCUACAAAUGACCUUCGCAUAAGAAUAAUAUUAUAAAAUAUUUUUUGUCCCUCACAAAUCUCCUCCAAAGUGACAAGAUAAUAUCACAAACUUCUCCUGCAAACCGAUAUUUUCCCUUACAGUCAAAUCCUUAAAUGUAAAAGUCAAAUUCACUCAAAUAUCUAUCAUCUAUUCUUACUAAAUCUGGACAAGGAUAUCAAUUAUAAUAAUUAGUUUUAAAUUGUAAUAAUUAGUAUAUUUACUUUCCCUUUAUUUCUCACCAUUAAUUUCUCACCAUUUCACUACCUUAGACCUCCAUUUUAGACCAAAUAACCUAACACCAAGGCUAACUGUUGGGCAAAUCGGCAAGUGUACCGAGUCGCACAAGUAAUAUAAAAUGGUAAGACCAAGUAUCGUAUCCCAGAGGACUCUUGACGUUGAUUAGUUGUGUGAAAACAAGAUUAAUUAAGACUGAAAAUAAAAGAGAUCAUGGAUUUGUGUUUCAAAAAGAAUAAAAUAAAACAAAGUAAAAUUGAUCAAUGGCAAAAGAGCACAAAUGUGAAUUGAGGUUGAUUUUUAUGAGAUGAGUAUGUUGUUGGGGUUAGACUUCACCAAGUUUCCUCUCAUGUAUAUAAGAAUUCUUCUUUUGCUAUUAAUGCCAACGUCCCUCACUAAAAUACUUAAACCCGAUGUCUCUGUAAAUAAGCAUGUCCUUAAUUACCAGUUCAUGCAAUUCCUAGCGUUCCUGGUAAAAAGAUGUGAAGAUCAAGAGGUUAAGACGACUAAGGCUCAUAUCCUCAUGUUUGAGCAAUAUGACCCUUAGGAGUAAUUUAACAAGGACCUGAAUUGCAAGGAACCUGUGAACACUCAUGCAAAUAACAGAUCAUGCUAUUGUAUAAGCAAGCAAUAAGAACAAAUAAAUUACUCUAACAAUUAAUGGAAAAAUCAUAUGAAAUUAAGGAUCAAUUCAAAUACAUGAGAGUUUACAAGGUUACAUCAUUCCCCAACAACAAAUAGAAAUUAGUUCCCUAUAGACAUGGGGGAACCUAUGAACAAUGGAAGAAAGAAAGAGAGAAUGGAAGACUAAGAAUUGGCUAAGAGUGUAUUGUUAUGCUUUUCUCUGCCAGGGAUGCUAAACCUAGAGUCCCAGGGUCCUUUAAAUAGUGUCAGAAGUGUCCCAGAGUGUGGCCUGGUCCAAAAGAAUCAAAUCAGAGUAGAAUCAGGGCCCGAUCCACGUCAAUUCUCGCUCAAGCGUCGUAGGGAGCUCGCCCGGGCAUGAAUCAAGGGUUCUGUAAGGCUUGGGCACCAGUUUUCAAUGCCUUAGAGAAUUACAUCAUAGAGCAGCCCUGGCCUGGUCCAGUCAGUUGUGACUAGUCAUAUGUGUUGGCAUCCAAGGUGAGUUUGAUGCGUUCAGACAUUUGUGUCCUCUCCGGUGACCAAUUAGGGUAAAGUAAGAUCUCUACUAUGAUGAAAAUUAGAGAAGUAGUUUACCAAAUAAGAACCAUUUUGGAUGUUUGAUGGGUAGUGAAGGAGUGAUUUUGAGACUUUAGGGUAUUGAGUGCAUUUGGUUUGUUUGGGCAGUUUAGACAAGUCAGUUCUGACUUGUUAGGCAGAUAAAAUUGAACUAAAACACAUUAGGAUGCGAUGUUUUGAAGUUAAAUUCAAGCCUAAACAACUUUGGAAUCACUGUAUAAUUGGUAAAAUCCAUCUAGAUAAGUUUAAAUAGGUGUCUAUCACAAAUUUGGGGUGUUAGAAGUUAGUUGGGAGUGGUGCAGGAGUUAGAAAAGUAUGAUACACACACACACACACAUAUAUAUGUAUAUAUAUGUGUGUGUGUGUGUGUGUAUAUAUAUAUAUUAUAAAAUAAUAUGGAAAUAUAAGUUAGGAAAGCAUGAUAUAUAUUAUAUUAAUAUAAUAGGGAUAUAUAGAUGCAUGGGAGUCCGUAUGAUAUAAAUUGUUAUCAUAAUAUUUAUAUAUAAAAGAAAGUAUGAGAUAUAUUAUAUUAAUAUAUUAUAUAUAAGAGAUGCAAGAGAGUAAAUAUGAUAAUAAAAUAUAUUAAAAUAAUAUUGUUUUAUAGAAAAUUAGUAGUAAAGAUUACGUAUGAUAUUAAAUUUUACCUGUGGGGAUGUAUUAUUUUACAAGAAAUUGUAGAGUUUUGUAGUGUGAUUGAGAUAACAUGACAAUUUGAGAUGAUUGGAAGUGGUUGUGGAGCAUGUUCUGUACAUAUGACUUGAUCUUUAAAGCUUAAGCAUGUGGUUUGAUUAUAAUUCAAAGGUAUAUGAAUUGGGAAAGAAAUAAAGAUGGUUUUAAGGUUAUUGGUGGUGGUUUAAUUGUAAAAUCUCCUGGUGAGAUUCUUAGUGUUUUAGAAUGAAAGUAGGAGCUCAGUCUUAGGGGUCUUCCUGACGCUCCAAUGGCCUUUCUUCUAAAGUAGAGAGGAUUGGACCAUGUGGUGAGGAGUAGCAGGAGAUCUUAGUCUUGGAGGCUUCCAUCAUGCUCUAGGCGUGGAACAGACUAAUCUCGUGAGUGUGGCAGGGCGGGGGAGCCCAGGGUAGGAGAGCCUAAGUAUCACAAGCCACCACGGGUGCAUGACUCGCCAUAGCUUGACUAUCAUUAUAAAGUCCGAACGAGUCAAGUCUAUAAUAUAAUAUGCUAGGAUCAGUGUCAUAUAUUGCAUUGUAUGUAUUUUACUUGAGUUAAAUCUGAUAUGUAUGUGUUGUUAUAAUUGUAUGCUUUUUAUAUAAUUAGCUCACCCUUGCAAUUGUUUGUGUUUGUGCCAUGUUUGCGUUUAUUUCCUUUGCGAUGAUCAUCCACUUGGAUGGGAGCAGAUGCCGAGGAAG